RNAcentral lists this transfer RNA (69 nucleotides) under Bos taurus (domestic cattle). It matches the Rfam family "tRNA". From Rfam's summary of the family: Transfer RNA (tRNA) molecules are approximately 80 nucleotides in length. Their secondary structure includes four short double-helical elements and three loops (D, anti-codon, and T loops). Lineage: Eukaryota; Metazoa; Chordata; Mammalia; Artiodactyla; Bovidae. RNAcentral also lists the same sequence under 1 other name. The record is from Rfam by way of RNAcentral.
CCUGGUAGCUCAGCUGGUAGAGAAUCUGCCUGCAAUGCAGGAGACCCUGGUUCAAUUCCUGGAUCAGGA